GAUUAACGCUGGCGGCGUGCAUAACACAUGCAAGUCGAACGAUGAAACUUAAAUGAUUUCUUCGGAAUGAACUUAAGCGAAUUAGUGGCGGACGGGUGAGUAACGCGUGAGUAACCUGCCUUACACAAGGGGAUAGCCGUUGGAAACGACGAAUAAUACCCUAUGAAACUAUCACUUCGCAUGAAGCGAUAGUCAAAGUGUUAGCGGUGUAAGAUGGACUUGCGUCUGAUUAGCUAGUUGGUGAGAAAAAAGCCCACCAAGGCAACGAUCAGUAGCCGGCUUGAGAGAGUGUACGGCCACAUUGGGACUGAGACACGGCCCAGACUCCUACGGGAGGCAGCAGUGGGGAAUUUUGCACAAUGGGGGAAACCCUGAUGCAGCGACGCCGCGUGAUUUAGAAGGCCUUCGGGUUGUAAAAAUCUUUUGUAUAGGAAGAAAAUGACAGUACUAUACGAAUAAGGUCCGGCUAAUUACGUG
This 477-nucleotide ribosomal RNA is filed under the name uncultured bacterium. RNAcentral describes it as "partial 16S ribosomal RNA". It matches the Rfam family "Bacterial small subunit ribosomal RNA", at positions 28 to 507 of the family's 1533-position model. The record is from RNAcentral.